RNAcentral lists this small nuclear RNA (78 nucleotides) under Scleropages formosus (Asian bonytongue). Its description in RNAcentral is "U5 spliceosomal RNA". It matches the Rfam family "U5 spliceosomal RNA", at positions 40 to 117 of the family's 117-position model. From Rfam's summary of the family: U5 RNA is a component of both types of known spliceosome. The precise function of this molecule is unknown, though it is known that the 5' loop is required for splice site selection and p220 binding, and that both the 3' stem-loop and the Sm site are important for Sm protein binding and cap methylation. The record is from Rfam by way of RNAcentral. Lineage: Eukaryota; Metazoa; Chordata; Actinopteri; Osteoglossiformes; Osteoglossidae.
UUUUACUAAAGAUUUCCGUGGAGAGGAACAAUUAUGAGUAUAAACUAAUUUUUUGAUGCCCCGCCGUAAGGUGGGGCU